RNAcentral lists this transfer RNA (71 nucleotides) under Patescibacteria group bacterium. RNAcentral's name for it is "tRNA-Gln". It matches the Rfam family "tRNA". From Rfam's summary of the family: Transfer RNA (tRNA) molecules are approximately 80 nucleotides in length. Their secondary structure includes four short double-helical elements and three loops (D, anti-codon, and T loops). The record is from RNAcentral.
UGCCCCGUCGUCUAAUGGCAGGACAGUGGCAUUUGAAGCCAUUAAUCUUGGUUCGAGUCCGAGCGGGGCAU